CCCCCCUAUGAAUGUGUUGUGCUUAGGGCUUAUGGGCGGUCGGGGGAGGAGGGGACGCAGAAGUUUUUGAAUAAAGUUUUCACUUCCUCAGCUUCCAGAAGCUUCUUCAGCUGAAGAAGAAAAAAAGAAAAGACAGAAAAGACAAAC
Molecule: non-coding RNA, 147 nt
Organism: Caenorhabditis elegans
Lineage: Eukaryota; Metazoa; Nematoda; Chromadorea; Rhabditida; Rhabditidae
Source: Ensembl